UACUUGAAACUGCGAAUAGCUCAUUAAAUCAGUUAUAGUUUAUUUGANGGNGCCUUACUACAUGGAUACCCGUAGUAAUUCUAGAGCUAAUACAUGCCAAAAAAACCCAACCGCAAGGGCGGGUUGUAUUUAUUAGAUAAAAACCAUUACUCGCAAGAGUUUUUGUGGUGAUUCAUAAUAACUGUUCGAAUCGCAUGCCGCAAGGCGGCGAUAGAUCAUUCAAAUUUCUGCCCUAUCAGCUCUCGACGGUAGUGUAGUGGACUACCGUGGCAUUAACGGGUAACGGAGAAUUAGGGUUCGAUUCCGGAGAGGGAGCCUGAGAAACGGCUACCACAUCCAAGGAAGGCAGCAGGCGCGCAAAUUACCCAAUCCUGAUACAGGGAGGUAGUGACAAAAAAUAACAAUACCGGGCAUUUCAUGUCUGGUAAUUGGAAUGAGUACAAUUUAAAUCCCUUAACGAGGAUCAAUUGGAGGGCAAGUCUGGUGCCAGCAGCCGCGGUAAUUCCAGCUCCAAUAGCGUAUAUUAAAGUUGUUGCAGUUAAAAAGCUCGUAGUUGGAUUUCUGGUAUGGUGCGCCUGGCCCACGGUUGCAAAACCGCGAGUGUCGGUGUGCGCCUGCCAUCUUUCUAGUUAACUGGACGCACUUAACUGGGCGGUCAGCGAUCUAGAUCUUUUACUUUGAAAAAAUUAGAGUGUUUAAAGCAGGCUUGCGCUAUGAAUACAUUAGCAUGGAAUAAUAAUUUAGGACUUUAUUCCUAUUUAUUGGUUUCUGGAGUAGAGUAAUGAUUGAUAGGGAUAGUUGGGGGUGCUAGUAUUCAUCGGCCAGAGGUGAAAUUCUUGGAUUCGAUGAAGACUAACUAAUGCGAAAGCAUUCACCAAGGAUGUCUUCUUUAAUCAAGAACGAAAGUUGGGGGAUCGAAGACGAUCAGAUACCGUCGUAGUCUCAACCAUAAACUAUACCGACUAGGGAUUAGUGGAAGUUGCUUUUUCGACUCCAUUAGCACCUGAUGAGAAAUCGAAGUCUUUGGGUUCUGGGGGGAGUAUGGUCGCAAGGCUGAAACUUAAAGGAA
This 1069-nucleotide ribosomal RNA is filed under the name Cercomonas sp. strain New Zealand 1-5C. Its description in RNAcentral is "SSU rRNA". It matches the Rfam family "Eukaryotic small subunit ribosomal RNA", at positions 78 to 1152 of the family's 1831-position model. Lineage: Eukaryota; Cercozoa; Cercomonadida; Cercomonadidae. The record is from RNAcentral.